UACAGGGGGUGCGAGCGUUGUCCGGAAUCACUGGGCGUAAAGGGCGCGUAGGUGGCGCGACAAGUCAGUGGUGAAAGCUCGACGCUCAACGUCGAGUCGGCCACUGAGACUGUUGGGCUUGAGCACUGUAGAGGCUAAUGGAAUUCCGGGUGUAGCGGUGGAAUGCGUAGAGAUCCGGAAGAACACCGGUGGCGAAGGCGGUUAGCUGGGCAGUUGCUGACACUGAGGCGCGAAAGCGUGGGGAGCGAACAGG
RNAcentral lists this ribosomal RNA (253 nucleotides) under uncultured bacterium. Its description in RNAcentral is "partial 16S ribosomal RNA". It matches the Rfam family "Bacterial small subunit ribosomal RNA", at positions 524 to 776 of the family's 1533-position model. The record is from RNAcentral.